GUCCAGGUGUGUCCAGGUGUGUCGUGGUGUGUCCAGGUGUGUCGUGGUGUGUCCAGGUGUGUCGUGGUGUGUCGUGGUGUGUCCAGGUGUGUCGUGGUGUGUCGUGGUGUGUCCAGGUGUGUCCAGGUGUGUCGUGGUCUGUUCAGGUGUGUCGUGGUGUAUCGUGGUGUGUCCAGGUGUGUCCAGGUUUGUCGUGGUCUGUCCAGGUGUGUCCAGGUGUGUCGUGGUGUGUCCAGGUGUUUCGUAGUGUGUCCAGGUGUGUCGUGGUG
Epinephelus fuscoguttatus (brown-marbled grouper) is the source of this 269-nucleotide long non-coding RNA. RefSeq lists it as uncharacterized. The transcript is spliced from 4 exons. The record is from RefSeq and is a predicted model, not a curated record. NCBI's taxonomy places the organism in Eukaryota, Metazoa, Chordata, Actinopteri, Perciformes, Serranidae.